AAAGGAAGGGGUGGGAGUGGGAACAUUUCUGCCUUGUUGAGUGGUGUUCCGUGGGAUGUUAAUAUGCAACUGUUACAAGUAACCUCAGGAAUGACCUUUAGCAGUAAGACAAUUGGCGGCAAUUUGAAUUCUAAGGUUAAAUUUGUUGUGAUGAAGGGUUCAACACUAAUGAAACCUACUGCUAGUCUGUUGGCUAAGCAAAAUCAGCCCCAUCCAAUUGUUAGCUCAAGGUUGGUGAUGUGAAGCAGCAAGUUAAUUUUGUCCACAAGGCACCUAAGAAGGUAAGGGUUGUAAUGCAAUUAAUUUCAACGUCUUCACUUCACUGCAAUGAUUCUAAUAAGGUUAAUUUAAUUCACACAAUUUUAAGUAGUAAUAUUAAUGUCUCUUCACAUA
This is a long non-coding RNA of Glycine soja, 393 nucleotides long. RefSeq lists it as uncharacterized. The record is from RefSeq and is a predicted model, not a curated record. NCBI's taxonomy places the organism in Eukaryota, Viridiplantae, Streptophyta, Magnoliopsida, Fabales, Fabaceae. The transcript is spliced from 3 exons.